This 361-nucleotide ribosomal RNA is filed under the name bacterium E-3-48-3B. RNAcentral describes it as "bacterial SSU rRNA". It matches the Rfam family "Bacterial small subunit ribosomal RNA", at positions 617 to 977 of the family's 1533-position model. The record is from RNAcentral.
GAACUGCAUACUCUAACUGCCGAGCUAGAGUAUGUCAGAGGGGGGUAGAAUUCCACGUGUAGCAGUGAAAUGCGUAGAUAUGUGGAGGAAUACCGAUGGCGAAGGCAGCCCCCUGGGAUAAUACUGACGCUCAGACACGAAAGCGUGGGGAGCAAACAGGAUUAGAUACCCUGGUAGUCCACGCCCUAAACGAUGUCAACUAGCUGUUGGGGCCGUUAGGCCUUAGUAGCGCAGCUAACGCGUGAAGUUGACCGCCUGGGGAGUACGGUCGCAAGAUGAACACUCAAAGGAAUNGACNGGGACCNGCACNAGCGGUGGAUGAUGUGGAUNAAUGCGAUGCAACGCGANCNACCCUUACCUA